Molecule: small nuclear RNA, 194 nt
Filed under: Carlito syrichta (Philippine tarsier)
Lineage: Eukaryota; Metazoa; Chordata; Mammalia; Primates; Tarsiidae
Description: U1 spliceosomal RNA
Rfam family: U1 spliceosomal RNA
About the family: U1 is a small nuclear RNA (snRNA) component of the spliceosome (involved in pre-mRNA splicing).
Source: Rfam by way of RNAcentral
AUACGUACCUGACAGGGCAGAUAGCAUGAUCACAAAGGUGGUACUCCCAGGGCGAGGCCUAUUCAUUGCACUCUGAAUGUACUGAUCCCUGCAAUUUCUCCAAAUGUGGGAAACUUGACUGCAUAAUUUGUGGUAGUUGGAAACUUGACUGCAUAAUUUGUGGUAGUUGGGGACUGUGUUCACACUUUCGCCUG